This 463-nucleotide ribosomal RNA is filed under the name uncultured bacterium. RNAcentral describes it as "bacterial SSU rRNA". It matches the Rfam family "Bacterial small subunit ribosomal RNA", at positions 338 to 795 of the family's 1533-position model. The record is from RNAcentral.
CCUANGGGUGGCUGCAGUCGAGAAUUUUCCGCAAUGGGCGCAAGCCUGACGGAGCGACGCCGCGUGGAGGAAGAAGGCCCUCGGGUUGUAAACUCCUGUCACGACUUACGAAAUCGCAAGGUGUAACAUCCUUGCGCUGACGAAGGGUCGGAAGGAAGCCACAGCUAACUUCGUGCCAGCAGCUGCGGUAAGACGAAGGUGGCAAGCGUUGUUCGGAUUCACUGGGCAUAAAGGGCGCGUAGGCGGUUCCGAAAGUGGCAUGUGAAAUCCUCUGGCUCAACCAGAGAAGUGCGUGCCAAACUUCGGUUCGCGAGGAUGGUAGGGGGGACUGGAACUCUCGGUGGAGCGGUGAAAUGCGUAGAUAUCGAGAGGAACACCGGUGGCGAAGGCGAGUCCCUGGUCCAUCUCUGACGCUGAGGCGCGAAAGCGUGGGUAGCAAACAGGAUUAGAUACCCUANUANUC